AUCAACUAUGGCCUGAGUAUGAUACACUUAUCCAUGGUUUAAACAGAAUAUAUUGUUUUCAACUUUGAAAAUUAAAAUAUGGAAAUCCAGAUGCAGAAAUGUGAGAAGAGUGGAAGGUCAGGUGACCUUGCCUGUCACGAAUAUGAAGGUCAAGGUUUGUGAAUUGUGAAAUGUCCAAGAGAACCUCACUGAAGCAAAGAAUGGAGAAAGAACGCAUUUGGCCCUGGGAGGGUGCAGGGGUGAAUGGUGCAGGAGCUAAAUCUUUAUCAUACCCAGAAAUCAACAGCCACUAUUUGAAAUCAUCUAAAUUCACGCUGCUAACCUUCAGUGUACACACGAAUCACCUGGGGAUCUUAUUAAAAGCUAGUUUCUGAUUCACUAAAUCUGUGUGCAGUGGAAGUUGAGGGCAGAGAAGCUCCCAAGGGUGUCAAGCUGGCCCUGAACCAGACUUUGAGGGUUAAGGUCCCAAAUGGCAUCGCCAGCACCAGGGACAGACACUAAAAUUGUAGAAAUCGUGUCAAGAAAUGAACAGCCUCUAAGUCACAUGUUGAAUGUGAAAGAAAUCAGGGUGUGUACGUGUGUGUGUGUGCACGUGUGUGCCUCUGUUUGUCUCUGUGCAUGUAUGUUUCCAUGUGUGCACAUGUGUGUAUGUGUCUGUGCAUGUGUGUUUCUGUGUGUGUGCCUGUGUGUGUAUUGGCUUAGAUCUGUUCGAGACUUUUUAUUUGAUGAGAUCGAUAUAUGUC
Molecule: long non-coding RNA, 743 nt
Filed under: Pongo abelii (Sumatran orangutan)
Lineage: Eukaryota; Metazoa; Chordata; Mammalia; Primates; Hominidae
Description: lincRNA
Source: RNAcentral